GGGUUGUGAGGUUAAGCGACUAAGCGUACACGGUGGAUGCCCUGGCAGUCAGAGGCGAUGAAGGGCGUGCUAAUCUGCGAUAAGCGCCGGUAAGGUGAUAUGAACCGUUAUAACCGGCGAUACCCGAAUGGGGAAACCCAGUGUGACUCGUCACACUAUCAUUAACUGAAUCCAUAGGUUAAUGAGGCGAACCGGGGGAACUGAAACAUCUAAGUACCCCGAGGAAAAGAAAUCAACCGAGAUUCCCCCAGUAGCGGCGAGCGAACGGGGAGGAGCCCAGAGCCUGAAUCAGCAUGUGUGUUAGUGGAAGCGUCUGGAAAGGCGCGCGAUACAGGGUGACAGCCCCGUACACAAAAGCGCAUGUGCUGUGAGCUCGAUGAGUAGGGCGGGACACGUGAUAUCCUGUCUGAAUAUGGGGGGACCAUCCUCCAAGGCUAAAUACUCCUGACUGACCGAUAGUGAACCAGUACCGUGAGGGAAAGGCGAAAAGAACCCCGGCGAGGGGAGUGAAAAAGAACCUGAAACCGUGUACGUACAAGCAGUGGGAGCACCCUUUUGGGUGUGACUGCGUACCUUUUGUAUAAUGGGUCAGCGACUUAUAUUCUGUAGCAAGGUUAACCGAAUAGGGGAGCCGGAGGGAAACCGAGUCUUAACCGGGCGUUAAGUUGCAGGGUAUAGACCCGAAACCCGGUGAUCUAGCCAUGGGCAGGUUGAAGGUUGGGUAACACUAACUGGAGGACCGAACCGACUAAUGUUGAAAAAUUAGCGGAUGACCUGUGGCUGGGGGUGAAAGGCCAAUCAAACCGGGAGAUAGCUGGUUCUCCCCGAAAGCUAUUUAGGUAGCGCCUCGUGAAUUCAUCUCCGGGGGUAGAGCACUGUUUCGGCUAGGGGGCCAUCCCGGCUUACCAACCCGAUGCAAACUGCGAAUACCGGAGAAUGUUAUCACGGGAGACACACGGCGGGUGCUAACGUCCGUCGUGAAGAGGGAAACAACCCAGACCGCCAGCUAAGGUCCCAAAGUCAUGGUUAAGUGGGAAACGAUGUGGGAAGGCCCAGACAGCCAGGAUGUUGGCUUAGAAGCAGCCAUCAUUUAAAGAAAGCGUAAUAGCUCACUGGUCGAGUCGGCCUGCGCGGAAGAUGUAACGGGGCUAAACCAUGCACCGAAGCUGCGGCAGCGAACGUAUCACUUAAAGCGAUUCAGCGGGUUACGAUUGACGGAGCGAAGCGACGUCAAAGCGUAUACAAAGUCGAGUCGGUUUAAGGAUACGUU
RNAcentral lists this ribosomal RNA (1270 nucleotides) under Salmonella enterica subsp. enterica serovar Newport. RNAcentral's name for it is "partial 23S ribosomal RNA". It matches the Rfam family "Bacterial large subunit ribosomal RNA", at positions 1 to 1298 of the family's 2925-position model. Lineage: Bacteria; Pseudomonadati; Pseudomonadota; Gammaproteobacteria; Enterobacterales; Enterobacteriaceae. The record is from RNAcentral.